RNAcentral lists this transfer RNA (88 nucleotides) under Terfezia boudieri ATCC MYA-4762. It matches the Rfam family "tRNA". Rfam says of the family: Transfer RNA (tRNA) molecules are approximately 80 nucleotides in length. Their secondary structure includes four short double-helical elements and three loops (D, anti-codon, and T loops). The record is from Rfam by way of RNAcentral. Lineage: Eukaryota; Fungi; Ascomycota; Pezizomycetes; Pezizales; Pezizaceae.
CCCUUUGUGGUGUAGUUGGUAUCACACUCGGCUGUAAUAGAUGUUUCAGACUACCGAUUGGUCACCGGUUCGACUCCGGUCGAAGGGA